GCGGGUAUCGUAUAAUGAUUAUUACUCCUGCCUUCCAAGCAGGUGAUGCGGGUUUGAUUCCCGCUACCCGCUCCA
Molecule: transfer RNA, 75 nt
Filed under: bacterium
Lineage: Bacteria
Also listed under: 2 other names
Description: tRNA-Gly
Rfam family: tRNA
About the family: Transfer RNA (tRNA) molecules are approximately 80 nucleotides in length. Their secondary structure includes four short double-helical elements and three loops (D, anti-codon, and T loops).
Source: RNAcentral